This 329-nucleotide unclassified non-coding RNA is filed under the name soil metagenome. Its description in RNAcentral is "partial contains 5.8S ribosomal RNA, internal transcribed spacer 2, and large subunit ribosomal RNA". The stretch from base 1 to 120 matches the Rfam family "5.8S ribosomal RNA", at positions 35 to 154 of the family's 154-position model. The record is from RNAcentral.
GAUGAAGAACGUAGCGAAAUGCGAUAAGUAAUGUGAAUUGCAGAAUUCAGUGAAUCAUCGAAUCUUUGAACGCACAUUGCGCCCCUUGGUAUUCCGAGGGGCAUGCCUGUUCGAGCGUCAUUAUAACCCCUCAAGCUCAGCUUGGUGUUGGGGCCUGCUGCACUGGCAGCCCUUAAAAUCAGUGGCGGCGCCAUCUGGCUCUAAGCGUAGUAAUUCUUCUCGCUAUGGAGUCCUGGUGGAUGCUUGCCAUCAACCCCCAAAUUUUCUAUGGUUGACCUCGGAUCAGGUAGGGAUACCCGCUGAACUUAAGCAUAUCAAUAAGCGGAGGA